Molecule: transfer RNA, 73 nt
Filed under: Ictidomys tridecemlineatus (thirteen-lined ground squirrel)
Lineage: Eukaryota; Metazoa; Chordata; Mammalia; Rodentia; Sciuridae
Description: Spermophilus tridecemlineatus (thirteen-lined ground squirrel) tRNA
Rfam family: tRNA
About the family: Transfer RNA (tRNA) molecules are approximately 80 nucleotides in length. Their secondary structure includes four short double-helical elements and three loops (D, anti-codon, and T loops).
Source: Rfam by way of RNAcentral
GGGGAUACAGCUAGGUUGGUAGAGUGCUUGCCUUGCAUACAAAGGGACCUGGGUUCAAUCCCCAGCACCACCA